Molecule: long non-coding RNA, 702 nt
Filed under: Lynx pardinus (Iberian lynx)
Lineage: Eukaryota; Metazoa; Chordata; Mammalia; Carnivora; Felidae
Source: RNAcentral
UGAUACUUACUAGGCAGACCCCUGUCUUUUAAGUGCUUUCUUUUUUAUGUUUUAGUAAUGUGAAUUUCAUAUAAAUAGCCAUAAAAUGCAUUGGAAUAAAAAAGAAAAAUACAUUGUAAAAGCUUUUUAUUUCUAUGAGACAACUUUGGUUCUAGUACCUCAUAGUUAAUUGGGAAUGUGCUGUGUUCAGUUUAUCUGUAAAAUUGGAGCAGGGGUUUUCCAAUUGGUGACUAUGGAUACCAAAACUUAUGCAGAAAUGCUUAAGAGAUUCUGUACCCAUUUUAUUUUAAUUUCAAUUUUGAGAUGUAUUUUAUCUAUUUAAAAUAUAUUUAAAUAGAUACAUUUAUCUCGGGGCGCCUGGGUGGCACAGUCAGCUAAGCGUCUGACUUUGGCUCAGGUCAUGACCUGGCGGUCCAUGAGUUUGAGCUCCACAUUGGGCUCUGUGCUGACGGCUCAGAGCCUGGAGCCUGCUUCCCAUUCCAUGUCUCCCUCUCUCUCUGCCCCUCCCCCACUCAUAUUCAUUCUCUCUCUCUCUCUCUCUCUCUCUCUCUCUCUCUCACAAAUAAACAUUAAAAAAAAGUAACAUAUAUGCUGUAAUGUACUACCUUCCAAAUGGACAUCACCAGAAUAAAGUUUCCCCACCAUCUAUCUCUGUAUAUAUAUUUAACUGCUUAUAAAUUUACAGUUUAUUCAAAAAAUGAA